This 497-nucleotide ribosomal RNA is filed under the name uncultured bacterium. RNAcentral describes it as "partial 16S ribosomal RNA". It matches the Rfam family "Bacterial small subunit ribosomal RNA", at positions 28 to 507 of the family's 1533-position model. The record is from RNAcentral.
GACGAACGCUGGCGGCGUGCCUAAUACAUGCAAGUUGAGCGCUGAAGGUUGGUACUUGUACCAACUGGAUGAGCAGCGAACGGGUGAGUAACGCGUGGGGAAUCUGCCUUUGAGCGGGGGACAACAUUUGGAAACGAAUGCUAAUACCGCAUAAAAACUUUAAACACAAGUUUUAAGUUUGAAAGAUGCAAUUGCAUCACUCAAAGAUGAUCCCGCGUUGUAUUAGCUAGUUGGUGAGGUAAAGGCUCACCAAGGCGAUGAUACAUAGCCGACCUGAGAGGGGUAUCGGCCACAUUGGGACUGAGACACGGCCCAAACUCCUACGGGAGGCAGCAGUAGGGAAUCUUCGGCAAUGGACGAAAGUCUGACCGAGCAACGCCGCGUGAGUGAAGAAGGUUUUCGGAUCGUAAAACUCUGUUGGUAGAGAAGAACGUUGGUGAGAGUGGAAAGCUCAUCAAGUGACGGUAACUACCCAGAAAGGGACGGCUAACUACGUG